This 1265-nucleotide ribosomal RNA is filed under the name Triticum aestivum (bread wheat). RNAcentral describes it as "partial small subunit ribosomal RNA". Lineage: Eukaryota; Viridiplantae; Streptophyta; Magnoliopsida; Poales; Poaceae. The record is from RNAcentral.
UUUUUUUGGAGCUUUUCCGGUAGUCAAUCUAAUCCCAAAGACCAGCCGAUCAAGUAUGCCGCUCCUCGUGCCCUUCCCUCCGCCUUGAGCCCUCUCCUCUACCCACGCGGCUUCGUCUUCACCUGCAGCCUCCUCCUCCUCCGCGACGCCGCGCCGCACGAGUUCGUGCCGCGACCGUUCACCGCGUGGUAGGUCUUCCUAGGGCUCAAGUCGGGGCAGGAGAGGAGAGCGAGGUUGUAGCUGGAGUUCCUGUUUACCUCCUUAAACUCAAAAUCACGUUCACCUGACCCAAGUUCCCUAUUUGUUUCCCAAGGUUCCGGCUUUCGUGGAAGCAGGAGGGGUAGUGGAUCGGGCGUCGAAGACGAAGAGAGUCGGGGCUUAUUACAACGGCUCCGAAGAGGUGGUCUUCUAACACUUUUUUCGGGUGUCCUACUGUUCUGAGGCUCAGGUUUCAACAUGUCAAGGUACUAGGACCUUCGAGAGCCGCUUGACUUUCUCGGUUUACCAAGUCUUCAACGAUGUUAAACGUUAAAGUAUCUCGUUUCCGUACUCCACGUUGGUUUAAAAUCUUCCAACGAAACACGGUUUAAUGCUUCCGAAUAUCCGCACUUGUUUCAACUCUUCUAACUAUUCAGGAUAUUCGACUGCCUAAGUAUACGUUUUUCCCGAGACCGAGGUUACUUUCUAGGUAGAGAUUUCUUCUUCCUAAGUCGGUUCAGUAGGUUCCGUCGUUUCCCAGAUCCGGUCAGCUCAGGACGUGACCUGCGUCGACUUCGACGUCGCUACUUUCAUCGCCUGCGCCUCCGGUUUAGCGUGGAGCGUUUGCUCGUGUACUACCUCCAACUUUCCUAGCCGUUCUACCGGCUCCUCUGGCUCAGAGAGGAGCUCGAGCGGAGUCUCGAGAUGCUCGCUACAAGUUCUCCUCUCCGCGAGUGUUAUGACGUUCACCGCGUGUCCCUCAAAACUACCACAACAGCUGGGGCAGUCGACGCGCGGCUGUAGACGAGAGAACAUGUACCUACCUACCUUCGCAACCGGGUCGGACAACAGAAGAACAGGCGCACAACAGAGACAACAUAGUAUUGAGCUUAGUUAAGCAACCAACAUGGACUCUCCCGUACGGAAAGUAACGGAUCCUUACUAAAACUCAACCACGUAAAACCUAUGACAGGACACAACUUCAGUCCCUUAUUACACAUAGAGCAGGACGGCGGAAAAGGACAUACAUGAGAUUACGUUCAAACCAGUAUACGAGGGAGGAACCG